AGCAGCCGCGGUAAUUCCGGCUCCAAUAGCGUAUAUUAAAGUUGUUGCAGUUAAAAGCUCGUAGUUGAAUUUCGGGAUUGACGUGAUGGUCAUGCCUUAAGGGGUAUGAACUGUUACUGUUGAUUUCUCACCUUCUGGAGAAACUUGAUGUCCUUUAUUGGGUGUCUUGCGGAUCCAGGACCUUUACCUUGAAAAAUUAGAGUGUUUAAAGCAGGCAUUUUUGCUCGAAUACAUUAGCAUGGAAUAACAGAAUAGGACGGCAUGGUUCUAUUUUGUUGGUUUCUAGGACCACCGUAAUGAUUAAUAGGGAUAGUUGGGGGCAUUAGUAUUCAAUUGUCAGAGGUGAAAUUCUUGGAUUUAUUGAAGACUAACUACUGCGAAAGCAUUUGCCAAGGAUGUUUUCAUUAAUCAAGAACGAAAGUUAGGGAUCGAAGACGAUCAGAUACCGUCGUAGUCUUAACCAUAAACUAUGCCGAUAGGAAUCAGACGAUGUUAAUUUUUAAUGUACUCGUUUGGCUAC
RNAcentral lists this unclassified non-coding RNA (520 nucleotides) under uncultured Entrophospora. Its description in RNAcentral is "SSU rRNA". It matches the Rfam family "Eukaryotic small subunit ribosomal RNA", at positions 569 to 1087 of the family's 1831-position model. The record is from RNAcentral. Lineage: Eukaryota; Fungi; Glomeromycota; Glomeromycetes; Entrophosporales; Entrophosporaceae.